This 449-nucleotide ribosomal RNA is filed under the name uncultured Acholeplasma sp. RNAcentral describes it as "bacterial SSU rRNA". It matches the Rfam family "Bacterial small subunit ribosomal RNA", at positions 925 to 1382 of the family's 1533-position model. The record is from RNAcentral. Lineage: Bacteria; Bacillati; Mycoplasmatota; Mollicutes; Acholeplasmatales; Acholeplasmataceae.
ACAAGCGGUGGAUCAUGUGUUAAUUCGAUGAUACGCGAAGAACCUUACCAGGUCUUGACAUCCCAUGCAAAGCUAUAGAGAUAUAGUGAGGUUAUCAUGGAGACAGGUGGUGCAUGGUUGUCGUCAGCUCGUGUCGUGAGAUGUUGGGUUAAGUCCCGCAACGAGCGCAACCCUUAUUGCUAGUUACCAUCAUUAAGUUGGGGACUCUAGCGAGACUGCCAGUGAUAAACUGGAGGAAGGUGGGGAUGACGUCAAAUCAUCAUGCCCCUUAUGACCUGGGCUACAAACGUGAUACAAUGGCUGAAACAAAGGGCAGCGAAGCAGUGAUGUGAAGCGAAACCCAAAAAAGCAGUCUCAGUUCGGAUUGAAGUCUGCAACUCGACUUCAUGAAGUCGGAAUCGCUAGUAAUCGCGAAUCAGAACGUCGCGGUGAAUACGUUCUCGGGGUUU